CCUACGGGAGGCUGCAGUGAGGAAUAUUGGUCAAUGGGAGAGAUCCUGAACCAGCCAAGCCGCGUGAGGGAAGACGGCCCUAUGGGUUGUAAACCUCUUUUGUCGGAGAACAAAACCCGGGACGUGUCCCGGACUGCGUGUAUCCGAAGAAAAAGCAUCGGCUAACUCCGUGCCAGCAGCCGCGGUAAUACGGAGGAUGCGAGCGUUAUCCGGAUUUAUUGGGUUUAAAGGGUGCGUAGGCGGUCCGUUAAGUCAGCGGUAAAAUUGCGGGGCUCAACCCCGUCGAGCCGUUGAAACUGGCAGACUUGAGUUGGCGAGAAGAAGGCGGAAUGCGUGGUGUAGCGGUGAAAUGCAUAGAUAUCACGCAGAACCCCGAUUGCGAAGGCAGCCUUCCGGCGCCCUACUGACGCUGAGGCACGAAAGUGCGGGGAUCGAACAGGAUUAGAUACCCUGGUAGUC
RNAcentral lists this ribosomal RNA (459 nucleotides) under uncultured bacterium. RNAcentral's name for it is "partial 16S ribosomal RNA". It matches the Rfam family "Bacterial small subunit ribosomal RNA", at positions 338 to 795 of the family's 1533-position model. The record is from RNAcentral.